Molecule: microRNA, 22 nt
Filed under: Oreochromis niloticus (Nile tilapia)
Lineage: Eukaryota; Metazoa; Chordata; Actinopteri; Cichliformes; Cichlidae
Description: oni-miR-10820
Source: miRBase by way of RNAcentral
AUCCCCGUCUGUGUGUUUCAGG